AGGCGUGGCUUGUAUCGACCCGAGCCGUGCCGGAGCUAACGCGUUAAGUAUCCCGCCUGGGGAGUACGCACGCAAGUGUGAAACUCAAAGGAAUUGACGGGGGCCCGCACAAGCGGUGGAGUAUGUGGUUUAAUUCGAUGCAACGCGAAGAACCUUACCAAGACUUGACAUCCUGCGAAUUCCGGUGAAAGCUGGGAGUGCCUUAGGGAGCGCAGAGACAGGUGGUGCAUGGCUGUCGUCAGCUCGUGUCGUGAGAUGUUGGGUUAAGUCCCGCAACGAGCGCAACCCUCGUUUUUAGUUGCCAGCAUUAAGUUGGGCACUCUAGAGAGACUGCCGGUGACAAACCGGAGGAAGGUGAGGA
Molecule: ribosomal RNA, 361 nt
Filed under: Cylindrospermopsis raciborskii C04
Lineage: Bacteria; Bacillati; Cyanobacteriota; Cyanophyceae; Nostocales; Aphanizomenonaceae
Description: bacterial SSU rRNA
Rfam family: Bacterial small subunit ribosomal RNA
Source: RNAcentral